UCAAGCUACAAAGAGCGCAAGGGGAAUGCCUUGGCACCAGGAGCCGACGAAGGACGCAGCAAUCUGCGAAAAGCCACGGGGAGCCGAAAGCAGGCAUCGAUCCGUGGAUGUCCGAAUGGGGAAACCCGGCUGAGUGAAGCUCAGUCAGCGUACACUGAAUCCAUAGGUGUGCGUGGGGAACCGCCUGAACUGAAACAUCUAAGUAGGGCGAGGAAAAGAAAUCAACCGAGAUUCCGCAAGUAGUGGCGAGCGAACGCGGAAGAGGCCAAACCGGCUGUAGAAAUAUGGCCGGGGUAAGGACAGCAAAAUGUAUGUUGGACCCUAGCAGAAGGGCAUGGGACGGCCCACCACAGAGAGUGAUAGUCUCGUAUGCGAAAGGGAAAAACAGCAGGCUGUAUCCAGAGUACCACUGGACACGUGAAACCCGGUGGGAAUAUGGGGGGACCACCCUCCAAGCCUAAAUACUCCCUGGUGACCGAUAGUGAAGAGUACUGUGAAGGAAAGGUGAAAAGAACCCCGGGAGGGGAGUGAAAAGAACCUGAAACCUUGUGCUUACAAGCACACAGAGCACGUCAAGGUGUGAUGUGGUACCUUUUGUAGAAUGGUCCGGCGAGUGAAUGUAACGAGCAAGGUUAAGCACUUUAGGUGCGGAGCCGAAGCGAGAGCAAGUCUGAAUAGGGCAUCAAGUUCGUUGUAUUCGACCCGAAACCGGGUGACCUAGCCAUGUCCAGGCUGAAGUGAAGGUAAAACUUCAUGGAGGGCCGAACCCACUCCCGUUGAAAUGGUAGGGGAUGAGGUGUGGCUAGCGGAGAAAUUCCAAUCGAACCCGGAGAUAGCUGGUUCUCUCCGAAAUAGCUUUAGGGCUAGCCUCGACUGAACAUUACCGGAGGUAAAGCACUGAAUGGGCUAGGGGCCGAGAGGUUACUGAACCCUAUCAAACUAAGAAUGCCGGAUAAUGAUAGUCGGGAGUCAGACAGUGUGAGAUAAGUUUCAUUGUCGAAAGGGAAACAGCCCAGACCCACAGCUAAGGUCCCAAAGUAUCGUUAAGUGGAAAAGGAUGUGGAACUGCCCAGACAACCAGGAUGUUGGCUCAGAAGCAGCCAUACAUUCAAAGAGUGCGUAAUAGCUCACUGGUCGAGUGGUUCUGCGCCGAAAAUUUAACGGGGCUAAACGAUACACCGAAGCUUGGGAUGCAGCAUUGGCUGCAUGGUAGGAGAGCGUUCUGUACGGGGUGAAGUCAUAGCGGAAGCGGUGGUGGACUGUACAGAAGAGAGAAUGCCGGAAUGAGUAGCGAGAUUUAUGUGAGAAUCAUAAAGGCCGAAAGACUAAGGAUUUAGAAGGAAGGUUCGUCCGCUUCUAGUUAGCCGGGAGCUAAGGCGAGGCCGAAAGGCGUAGUCGAUGCACAUACGGUGGAGAUUCCGUAGCCGCCUCUUAAUUUAAGCAAAGGGACACUUUCAAAGGGAAUGACCCGGGCGUUGGUAGCCCCGGGCGAAAGGGACCGAAAUUAGAGUAGGGAAGCAUUUCUGGAGGAAGGCGAGAAAAGCUUUGCGGAUAGAGAGAGGCGCCCGUACCGCAAACCGACACAGGUAGUCAGGAAGAGGAUUCUAAGGCCAACGGGAGAAGGGUAGUUAAGGAACUCGGCAAAUUGACCCCGUAACUUCGGAAUAAGGGGUGCUCCUGAAAAGGAGCCGCAGUGAAUAGGCCCAGGCGACUGUUUAUCAAAAACACAGCUCUCUGCUAAAUCGAAAGAUGAAGUAUAGGGGGUGACACCUGCCCGGUGCUGGAAGGUUAAGAGGAAGGGUGCAAGCUCUGAAUUGAAGCCCCAGUAAACGGCGGCCGUAACUAUAACGGUCCUAAGGUAGCGAAAUUCCUUGUCGGGUAAGUUCC
Molecule: ribosomal RNA, 1887 nt
Filed under: human gut metagenome
Description: bacterial LSU rRNA
Rfam family: Bacterial large subunit ribosomal RNA
Source: RNAcentral